GACAGAGGGUGCAAACGUUGUUCGGAAUUACUGGGUGUAAAGCGCGUGUAGGCUGCUCCGAAAGUCGGGUGUGAAAGCCCUGGGCUCAACCUAGGAAGUGCACUCGAAACUUCGGAGCUGGAGUCCUGGAGAGGAAGGCGGAAUUCUCGGUGUAGAGGUGAAAUUCGUAGAUAUCGAGAGGAACACCGGUGGCGAAGGCGGCCUUCUGGACAGUGACUGACGCUGAGACGCGAAAGCGUGGGGAGCAAACAGG
RNAcentral lists this ribosomal RNA (253 nucleotides) under uncultured bacterium. RNAcentral describes it as "partial 16S ribosomal RNA". It matches the Rfam family "Bacterial small subunit ribosomal RNA", at positions 524 to 776 of the family's 1533-position model. The record is from RNAcentral.